This 559-nucleotide ribosomal RNA is filed under the name uncultured Glomus. RNAcentral describes it as "SSU rRNA". It matches the Rfam family "Eukaryotic small subunit ribosomal RNA", at positions 546 to 1106 of the family's 1831-position model. Lineage: Eukaryota; Fungi; Glomeromycota; Glomeromycetes; Glomerales; Glomeraceae. The record is from RNAcentral.
AAUUGGAGGGCAAGUCUGGUACCAGCAGCCGCGGUAAUUCCAGCUCCAAUAGCGUAUAUUAAAGUUGUUGCAGUUAAAAAGCUCGUAGUUGAAUUUCGGGGUCAGCAGGUUGGUCGUGCCACUGGUAUGUACUAGCCUUGCUGAUUCCUCCCUCUUGAUGAGCCGUAAUGCCAUUAAUUUGGUGUUGCGGGGAAUCAGGACUGUUACUUUGAAAAAAUUAGAGUGUUUAAAGCAGGCAUGCGCUUGAAUACAUUAGCAUGGAAUAAUGAAAUAGGACGUUUGAUCCUAUUUUGUUGGUUUCUAGGAUUGACGUAAUGAUUAAUAGGGAUAGUUGGGGGCAUUAGUAUUCAAUUGUCAGAGGUGAAAUUCUUGGAUUUAUUGAAGACUAACUACUGCGAAAGCAUUUGCCAAGGAUGUUUUCAUUAAUCAAGAACGAAAGUUAGGGGAUCGAAGACGAUCAGAUACCGUCGUAGUCUUAACCAUAAACUAUGCCGACUAGGGAUCGGAUGAUGUUAAUUUUUUAAUGACUCAUUCGGCGCCUUACGGGAAACCAAAGUGU